This 290-nucleotide long non-coding RNA is filed under the name Gallus gallus (chicken). Lineage: Eukaryota; Metazoa; Chordata; Aves; Galliformes; Phasianidae. The record is from RNAcentral.
UUCGUUUUGAUAAGUACUGGACCAGUAACAAAGACAUUCAAUGUUAUCUAGAGAUCUUCCUCCUCUUGGGUUUUGGAGGCUUCACUUGUCUGUCUCCCUGUGGGAUUUGGUGGACAUUCCCAGACAUUUUGUCUAGCUCACUCAUGGCCUCGUGUAUAGCAGCUUCUAAAUGGUUAUUUAGCUUUCCACUUUUUCUGUUCCUUUUCCUGGCUCGGUUGUAAGCUUCUAGACCUUCUGUUAGUGUCUUCAACUUCUCUGGCUCCACCUGAGUGAAGGUAUGAACACCAAAC